CUGGGAAACUGCCUGAUGGAGGGGGAUAACUACUGGAAACGGUAGCUAAUACCGCAUAACGUCGCAAGACCAAAGAGGGGGACCUUCGGGCCUCUUGCCAUCGGAUGUGCCCAGAUGGGAUUAGCUAGUAGGUGGGGUAACGGCUCACCUAGGCGACGAUCCCUAGCUGGUCUGAGAGGAUGACCAGCCACACUGGAACUGAGACACGGUCCAGACUCCUACGGGAGGCAGCAGUGGGGAAUAUUGCACAAUGGGCGCAAGCCUGAUGCAGCCAUGCCGCGUGUAUGAAGAAGGCCUUCGGGUUGUAAAGUACUUUCAGCGGGGAGGAAGGGAGUAAAGUUAAUACCUUUGCUCAUUGACGUUACCCGCAGAAGAAGCACCGGCUAACUCCGUGCCAGCAGCCGCGGUAAUACGGAGGGUGCAAGCGUUAAUCGGAAUUACUGGGCGUAAAGCGCACGCAGGCGGUUUGUUAAGUCAGAUGUGAAAUCCCCGGG
This 494-nucleotide ribosomal RNA is filed under the name Shigella flexneri. Its description in RNAcentral is "bacterial SSU rRNA". It matches the Rfam family "Bacterial small subunit ribosomal RNA", at positions 117 to 607 of the family's 1533-position model. The record is from RNAcentral. Lineage: Bacteria; Pseudomonadati; Pseudomonadota; Gammaproteobacteria; Enterobacterales; Enterobacteriaceae.